This 67-nucleotide transfer RNA is filed under the name Patelloida saccharinoides. Its description in RNAcentral is "tRNA-Trp". Lineage: Eukaryota; Metazoa; Mollusca; Gastropoda; Lottiidae. The record is from RNAcentral.
AGGGGCUUAGGUUAAAAAAACUACAGGCCUUCAAAGCCUGGAUUGAGCAUAGCUUGCUCAGCCCCUG